Molecule: long non-coding RNA, 9533 nt
Organism: Cavia porcellus (domestic guinea pig)
Lineage: Eukaryota; Metazoa; Chordata; Mammalia; Rodentia; Caviidae
Exons: 2
Source: RefSeq, a predicted model, not a curated record
UUUCUGUUUCCUAAGAAAGCUGUCAAAGCCUUAGGGAUCAGUUUCCUGCAACCCCCUUCCCUACCCCUCAUCCGGCCAUCUGUAAUAAAAUGUGCUAUUCUUUAAGAAAUGCUCUCCUCUGUAAAAAUUGCAAAAUCUUACCUAAUUGAUAUGUUAACCAUUGUUGCCCUCUACAAAUAACAGAUGUGGUACUAAAAUAAGCUAACAGAGAAAAAAGAUGUUUGCCCAAUCUAAACUUGCUUGUAUGCAGGGAGAUUUGCUUGUUAGCCCAACCCUUAUCUGAACUUUGCUCUUCCCAAUGUAAUUGCCGCGUUCCUGUUCUGUAGUGCACCCCCUCCCCCCUCUCCUUGCACUGUGAGACCAGUAGCUGUUUGCCGUUUUUUAAGUCCUGACUUUUAGCUGUCAGGAGUGCAGUCUCCAGAUUGGCUCCUGGAGAUUGCGUUGCCAGGCCUGGCCUAAAAUAAAGCUUUUGCUCCCUAAAUUUUAAUUUCUUGCUUCCUUGGAUUUUAUUCCGGGGUCUGAAUUACCACAAUUAUGAGCAUUACAAUGAAACAUUUUUUGAAAAUCAAUUUUUUCAAAAUAUUGAAAUAUUGACUCAUUUUCUAAUUACUAUUGAAUAUAUUUUUGUUUUCUUUCCAAUUAAUAAUUUUAGAUGCAGAAUUAACUUUCUUUUCAAACUUUCAAGCUGCUAUUUUAAGUAGUGUUAUUGCAAGGAGGAUUUGGUUUUGAGGAUUUGGUUCCUCUUUAUAACUACUGGCUCUUGGUUUCAAGGAUAAAUAUUGAAGCAUGAAACGACCUUUGCAACAAAUUAUCAUAUCACAUAAAAUUAGGACAACAUAUACCACAUUUUUGGAGAAACUGUGAUUAUUUUUGAAAGCCCAGGGCUAGAUUAUUAUUGAAUAAUCAUUUCAUGUAAUAUUCCUCUAAUCAACAACAGGAGGGCCAGGUGAGGUGGCCUGAAAUUUGAUGUUAGAGAUGAGCUUUCACUUCUUACAUCAACAGAUUUGAAAUAUCAAACCUGUAGAUUCCUAUGUUUGUUUCUUCUAAAUUUUAUCUGAUAAGAUUUUGGUGCAGUACACAAAGAAAGGAGACAAGAGGCCUUUUUUGUGGGCAUGGGAGGGCUGCAGAAGAGAUGCAAGCACCCUCAGGUGAGAACAAAGAAGUGGAAGUACUUUUACCAGGUCUGGCCAGGGAAGGAGUUUGGGAGGUGUACAAAAUGGCAUGUUAACAGCUGAUUUGAAAAAACAUUUGCCUGAGCAAAACAGGAAACAGAAAAGAUUUAGUGGGGGCUGGAGGUGGAACCCUUUAUGGAGUCUUAGGAUUGUAGAGGGCUUAGUGUAUGUGCAAAAAUGGAGCAGGAGUUUUAUUUCUGGAAUUAGAAGAACACAGAAGUUACUCUUGGAAAGAUAAGUUGCUUUUCUGGAGCCCAUACCAAGUUGAGGGCUGUCAUGUUGGAGAUAGCUAAGCCCCAGCUGCAGAAUCUGACAUUAGCCAUCUAGGGUGUGACCUUUUGGGGCCAACCCUUGAGGAAUGUAGUAUUGGAUUAUGAAGUAAAGAAAGAACCAGUGAAAAACAGAGUGUAAUAGAUGUGAUUGCUUCCCAUUGUCUUUGGCCUUAGUGAGAGGUCUCAGAUCACACCUGUGUCUCCAAGAAUCAAACUGAUGACCUUAACACUUCAUCCACCAGGUUUUAUCUCAGUCUCCAGGUCCUGACCAGCUGGCCUGCUCACAGUACUACCUCUGCUGUUUUGAUGUCAUGAUGAGCUGCAGUUCACCCAGCAGAUGCAAGGUUCUGACACCAGCUGGUUCAAAAUCAGAGUAUCUUUAUUUUUCUCUCAUCGCUGAGAUAUUACCUGAAACCCAAAAUUAAGGAAGGAAGGUUUAUUUAGCUCACAAUUUAUAGCAGUUCCAGUCUGUAAUCAGCUCGCCCCAAGAGAAGGUGGCACAGCACUCAUGCAACAGUUCAGGGAGAGCAAGCCUCUUUUCCUCCCUUGUAUUGUACACAGGCCACACACCCCCCCCCCCCCCGGAGUGAUGUAGCACUCACAAAGUCUCCUUGCCCUUCUGUUGCAGAAGACUAGAAUAUUUACAAAGUAAGAUCCAUGGCUCCCUGCUGAGUGUGUUAAUUAAACUUCUAAACUUCUCCAGUGGAACAGGAAGCUCAUGCUGCCUGUAAGAGAAAAGCCCACAGUGAGAACAAAGAGCUACAUUCUUAGUUUCUACAAUCUAAUGACACCUUGAGACAGAACCAAAAAAUGUUCUGAUGUGUUUCACUGUGAGAGAGAUGUGUCUUCUGCCCCUCAUAGUAUAUAAAGGAAUUUAACAGGAAAUGGAGGGCGUAGAAAGUAAGUAAGCAAAAAGUCUUUAGGGACCAAGUGUUCUUGGUGCUUGUGUAUUCUCCAAGUGUGGGUAUUCUCUCACACUGAGAGAAAGAGAGAGAGAGAGAGAGAGAGAGAGAGAGAGAGAGAGAGAGAACAUAUCGUAGGACUAGGACAUGAUACAAUCAUCUAGUAGGAACCUGGGCAUCAAUGGUCUCAUGCUCCACUUCUCAGGUGCAAUCAUGAGAGGUCGCAGCCUCCCACUUGAAGUAGACUCUCCUAUGCCCCUGGAAUGUCACUGGGACAGUGAAACAUGUAUCCACAUUGACCAGGAAGUCCUGGGAUUGGGAUGGUAGUAAGCAAAGUUGUGAGUGGCUCACGUUAGGAAGGGAUAAGAAGGUUUGGCUAUGCUAAAAUGGAAAUAAGCAUCAAAAGAGAACCCAUCCUUUGGUAACUGCUCUGUAAAGGAAAAAUAUGUGUGUGUUCUGCAUGUGUUUAUUUAUAAAAUAGAGCUCUGGAAAGCAUAGUUUAUGAAAUUCAUGAUUUUUGUCUCAAUAAAAUUUUCAGAAUCCAAAUUGAAUUGGCUGAGCCAAUUAUUUUCCUUUCUUUCCAUGCUUCUGUGAUUUUUAAAUAUGUAGCACACCUAUCACGUGACAUAAGAAAAACUAAAGAUGAUAAUAAUAAUGUGAAGUAUUUAUAUGUUUUUGAGAAUUCAAAAGUUUGACUAAACAUAAGUUCAAACUGAUGUGAUGGAUUUUUUAGAAUAAGCAACUUUGUGCAUGUCAAAGAAAAGCAGAAUAUAUAAUCUUUCUAAAUUUUUAAACUAAAUUAAUCUGGUAGCAAAUUUGAAUUUGUACCACACUCUGAAGAAUAAGCCUUGUAUUUCAUACUUCAACAUACUACAAUAAUUAGCAAUUAAAAUAUGGUUAAAAUAUCUCUUUUUUUGAAACUUAAAAGCAGUUCUUAAGGAAAACUUUUGGUGACCAUGUUGGAGCUUAAGACACUGGGAAACCAAGCAAGCACCUCCCUUCCCUGGUAAGCGGUGCAGUAUGGCAGACCACGGCCCUGCCAGGGGGAUUACCAGCAGCAGCUCCAGAGAUCCACGCCAUGUUGGAACCUAGGACACUGGCAAGCCAAGCAAGUGCCUCUCUUCCCUGAACUGCAGAUUGAACCCACAGCCUUCACGCUGAGCAAAAAUUCUACUCUUUUAAAAUUGAUUUAAUUUAAACAUUUUUGAGAGUGGACCUUACCAAUUUGCUGAGGCCACAUUUGAACGUGCAAUCCACCUGCUUCAGCCUCCCAGAGUGCUGGAAUUUUCAGUGUGUACCACUAUUCCUGGUUGAGGUUCUGGAUUAUUUUUUCUUAUGGCUUCAUUUAUGGGCCCCAAAUCUAGACGUUUACUACAUAUAGCAGCUUCACACCAUUUUUCCAGUUCCAUGCCCUGUCCAUAGUUAUUCACUUUUGAGUGUCAGUUAUCUCCUGGAACACUAUUUUAAAGUUCUCUUCGUGAUUAUAUUCCUGAGGUUCUACGACUCACAGCUACAUUGAGUCCAUUAAGGUUAUGGUGACAUUGGCUUUACGCCCAGCUUGGGGAAAAGAAUGCCUCCACAUUCAGUGAGUGGAAUUUCUGAGUCAUACAUCCUUGCCCUGCUUUUCAUCUGCAGAUGCAUCCUCUGAUGAUGAGAGCCACUCUGAAGAGGCAUUUCCCUGUUUUGGUCAAGCAUCUCAAAAAUAAUUAAUUAAUUAUCUAAUUUAUUCAAAAGGUUUUUUGUUGCUGUUGCUGUGGCUUGCUUGAUUUGGUUUUCUUGUGGUAUUGUAGGAAGUUCAUUCCAGGGGACCUGGAAAUAUUUACUUAAUGAAAUUUAAGAAAUUAAAGACUUUCAGAUCCUUUAAAGAACUAUUAUUCAAGUUUUACCUCUCUAUACCCCAGGAAGCCAGGCAUUACCAACAAGACUGAGAGAGAGUUCUACAGAGUUCACUGCAAGAUGGAUAUGAGACAAAGUACAGACUUCUUUUGAAAGCCAAAUAUUGGGUGAGAUAACAUCAUGUACCGAAGAAGGGAUUGUUAAACUAUACACCUACCAAGUAGAGGCAGGGAAUGUUUUGUAACUUUUAAGAUCCCUGUAUAUUACAACAAAAUGACUCAGUUGAAUCCUGAGUCUGGGUUCUAUUACCAUUAUUAUUGUGGUCUAGUAUGUUAUCAGGUCCCAUAACUUUAUAGUAGAUCCUCUUUUUUUCCAGACCCCAGACUCUGACAUUUUUGUUCAUUCAACCUCGAUUCACUGAUGUCUGCUGAGCUCUGGGCAUAGUGCUCAGCACAGGAAAUGUAAUAAUGAUGUUGAAACAUACUUGAACCAAAGAGCUCAUGAUCCAGUGGAAGAGAAAAUAUCACCAACCUAUUAUUAGAAAACAAUCUAUAGCACUGUUGUAGAAAUACAUCUUCAGAAAAAUGAAAAUACCAAAGAGUAGAGCUUGGAAGUUUAAGGAAGACUUAUUGCUGGGUGUGACAGUGGAGGUCAGAUAAAAAGUAGGAAAAACUGGGCUGCCUGUGUGACUCCAUGGAGACAAGAAUCAUGUGAGAGGGAUUUAUUUAUAAGCAGGUCAGUGGCAUAAGGUUGCAAUGAAUGGCUAACUUAGAGGGCCAGAGGGUCAUAUAUACAAUGUUAGCUUUGACCUUUCUUGGGAGUUAGGUGGGCUAACAUGAUUAUAUUUUAUUUUAAAUAGAGUCAGAUUAUGGAGCCAGAUAGCUCUUUUAAAGGCUCUUACAAAGGAUGAUGAAACGCUAUGCUGAAAAUGAAGAAGGGAGAUGAGUGAAAUAUCUUUAAGAUGUCCUAUUGGGAGGACUUAGCAUUUAUACGUGGAAUGUAAUACAAACAGUGUAGUCAGUUAAGAAUGACUCAGAUUUUUAUUUUAGAUUAAUGGAUGGACUUGAAAAUUGUAUAUUGGAACACAGGACUUUAAAGAGAAGUCUGACAUGGGAAACUAGCCCAAAUUUUAUAAGCAUGGAGAAUUCAUCAUCAAGAAACUAGAGACUUUGAUCCUGUAUUUCAACAUAUUUUCUAGGUAAGGAUUCUUUGGUUCUUGAUGAUAGUGAUUUAAGAAAAACAAGAAUACUCACCUAUCCAACCCUUAUACAGUUUUGGUGUAAGUGGGCAACCACUUUGGAAAAGAAUUUGACAGUUUUAAAAAUAUUUUAAAAUAUACUUAUCAUGUGACCCAGUAGAGUAAUGCUAUUCUAGAUAUGUCAAGGUGAAGUGAAAGUAUAUAUCAAGACAAAAAAUUUAUACAUUUACAUUCUUAUGCACUUUAUUAUAAAAAUGAAAAAAAAAAACCUUUAUCCUAGUGGGUGAUAAACAAACUGGCACUUCUGUGCAAAACAAUAACACACAACAACAAAAAUCAAACAUCAAUGUAGACUACAAUAUAGAUGAAUUUUGAAAAAUUAUACUGAGACAAAGAAGGCAGAUAGAAAAGUAUAUGUACUAUAUGACUCAACUUAUAUAUUUGUCUUUGAAAAUAAAAUUAGUAUAUAGCAUGAGAGAAUAAGGAGAGAGAGAGGGAGAGAGAGAGAGAGAAAGAGAGAGAGAGAGAGAGAGAGAGAGAAAGAGAGAGAGAGAGAAUGAUAACCAAAAGGAAGAGGGAAACUUCUGGAAGAAUAGAAAUAUUUAUCAUUUUGAUUGGAUGAUAAUUUCACAGGUAUAUACAUUUGCCAAAAUUUCCCAAAAUGUACAUUUUAAACAUGUAUAAUUGUAGUAUAUAAAUUAUAUCUUAAUAAAAUUAUGAAAAAGGACUUCCGGGAGAACAUGGCAGAUAGAUAACAGCAGCUAUUGAGGCUCUCUGAGAUCGCCAGCUUAGAUUCCAGGAAUGGUGUGGUGUGAGGAGUCCUAAGCAGGGGGAGAUAUACCCUGCCAACCCAGGAAUGAACUAAGCUGAGAGAAACCAACUGGAAAUACAAUCCAGGUGCUAUGACUGGAACAGUUAAAGUCUCAGUGCCGAAGCUGGAACCCACACCUCUAGAAACCAUGGAUUGAAUUUCCUGCUACCCCUGCUGCAUCUGAAUUGGUACAGCACCGACAGAGAUGGGAAGAGUCUGAGAGUGGGAAUUGGCAAACCCAAUUGAGAGCAGAGCUGGCAGGGAGCCCUGCAUCAACCUACAGUGAGUGAGAGGAACAGGGAUACUUCCAUAGACUAAGAGGCUCCAACAGAGGACAUUCUGGGACUGGGCAGACUAGCCAGAACAGGAGGCUGCAGUGACUUCAGUCACAUAUUCCAGGAUUGGUGGGGAGUGCUUGACCUGGGUGAUGCCAUGGACUAAGACCCAGUAGGCUAGCCCAAACCAGGUCCCUGUGCCUGGCAGUGCACCCUAAUGCAGUGAAGCCUUCAAUAGUUUGACUGACCUGGAGGGGCAGACCCAGCAUAGGCUGCCCAGGUCUGUGUCUCCCUAGUACACUGCAGUGGGUGGGAACACCUAGCCAGCAUGAUUCAAACAAACUGUAUCUGACAAAGAAAAAAACUGGGUCUCUUCUAUAUGCUUGUAUGGAAGGAACAAAAAGUAUGGGAAGAGGAAGCAACAAGAAAGGGUCCUCAGUCCCCAAUCCUGAGAACACUGAUCCAGGAAAGGUAAAUGCAAAGGAGGACAGAAAACAUGCAAUAUCAGACACUGCACCAAUAGACAUAAAGCGAUAUCUCUGGAGUCUCAUAGACAAGUUCAAAAGUGAAGUAUUUAACCAAGUAAAGCAAGAUAUAAGUAGACUAAUUAAAGAAAUGCUAAGCACCUCCCAAGAAAAAACAAAUGGUUGGAAUGGGAGAAUUUCUAAAAAGGGGAGAAUUGUUUGAUGGAGAAAAUAGAGAAAAACAUAGAAUAUAUGAAGCAGUUUCAAAGAGAUUAUCAGAUUACUAAAAACUCUAUUGAAAGCUGGCAUAACAGCUUAAAAGAAACUAAGGAUAGAUUAUUUGAACUGGAGGACAGAUUUGUAACAUGGGAACAUGAAAGGAAAACCUUAAAAAUAACAAGGAAACAAGUAGUAACAAUACAAAGGCUAGAAUAAGAGGAUCUAUAACUUAAGAAUUAAGAACAUAAGAGAAGAAGUGGGGACACAAACAAAUGGACUACAAAAGCUAUUCACAGAAAUAAUCCAAGAGAAUUUCCCUAAUUUAGCAAAUUGUAAAGAUACUCAGAUAUAUGAGGCAUACAGGACCCCAGCCACCUACAACCCAAACAGAACUACACUCAGGCAUAUAAUAAUCAAAAUUCCAGAAAUCCAAUAUGAGAACAGAAUAUUAAAAGCUGUCAGAGACAAGAAACAGAUCACUUACAAGGGAACACCCAUCAGAAUUACAGCAGACUUCUCAGACAAAGCAUCAAAUCACAAAGAGCAUGGGGCAAAAUAAUUCAAGCUUUGAAAGACAAUAACCUACAGCCAAGAUUGAUAUAUCCUGCACAACUGUCCCUAGGAAUUAAUGGAGAAACAAAAUGCUUCCAGGAUAAAGAGGAACUAGGGGAAUUUGCAACCACCAAUUCAACUCUACAGAGAAUACUGCAGGACAUUCUAAAAGAGAAAAAUAUCAAGAUUCCAGAAACAGUGGCAGAGAGGCCACAAUGAAUGGAGCAGAAAGUAAAAUGAAGAAGACAAACUGACAACUAAUGACAGAAAAACUCAACAGAAAUGAGGCAGAGAAGAGAAGGUUGGAUGGUAUGAACAGCUAUUUUGGAAAAAACAAGACAUCAUAAUAGCUAUUUAAUAUCAUCUUGUUUUGAAGUCCCAUCAAGCUUUUGUUCUUCUGUCUCCAUCAGUCUUAACAUGUUGUAUCUUAUUGGAUUUUAUUAUAUGUGAUAAUAUAAACAAAAACUUUUAUAGACAAGGAGAUAAUACAGGAACCAUUGUUCAUUUUCUGUUAGUUGAUUCUAAAUACCCUGUAAUACUGUCAUUCUCUUGAAUGGUUUUACACUGUCUUGAUAUGUUUGAUGCUAUAGUAUAUGAAGUUGUACUCAAAGAUUUCAAGGAAAGAGACACUAUGAUAACUACUUUAAUGUCGGGAUGUCUUGUGGUGAAACAUUAUUUUGCUUAAAUGGUUAUGUUUGGACCUGUGCUAUUUUGUAGUUAUGCCCUCUUUUAUCUCAAUCUCCUUGUUUAUUAUUUAUUUUUUAUUUUUAUCUUUUUAAUUAAGGGAAAAAUAAAUUUAAAAAUAGCAAGAUAUAUUAUAGUAACCCACUCUGAUUUCCUAUUAACUUGAUUUGAAACUCUGUAUUCCUCUCACCAUCUUUUUUUGAUUGAUUUUCCUCUAUUCUGUUUUGCUUGAUACUACCAAGUUUGAGAGUAUAGGCAACAACUGUGAGACAAUAAGAUUCACUAUGAUGUCCAUUCUGAUUUGACUAUUUUCUUCUUUUGAAGUUCUGUAAUAUCUUCAAUGUUUUGGCUUUAUUGGUUUUGUUCUUUACUGUUUUAUUCAAUUUUAUUAUACCCUGAUGGUAUAGGCAAUUCUUUUUAAGAUAGCAAGAGGCAUUAUGGUAACCACUGUUGAUCAUCUUGUAUUCUGUGUUUACAUUAUGUACUAUGCCCAUCCUUUUGAUUUGACUGACUCUGUUUUGUUAUGUCACAUUUGGUUUUAUUCUCUUCAAAAAGAAAAGUAAUGAGAACUGUGGGAGUAAUAAAACCCAAAAUGUGUAAUUGUCAUUGUAAAAAAGAGAGGAAAAGAAAGUGCUCUAAGGAUAUAACUGCAUGUAUAUUUAAGCAUAUAAGAUAGAUAACCAUAUUACUGAGUUUUUGUUGGAUCAUUGAACAGAACUGUUUGCAGUCUCACUAUUUGAAUGUCCACUUUAUAUGCUUUAAUUUUGUAACUUGAACAACUAUUUCUAAUAUAACAAUAUGUACUAGUGAUUUCCUACUGUUUAUUUUUUUAAAUUCUGUAUGACCUGUAGCUUUUUCUGUUUUUUUUUUUCUUUUUCUCCUUAAAUAAAAUUUAAAAAAAUAAAACUAUGAAAAAGAAGGGGAGUUCCACUUGGUUACUCACCAGUGACCACCUCAAAAAUACCAUCUGGAUCUAGAAACUAGAGUAUGUGAAUUGUUUCCCCAAUAUGGUAACUCACAUUCCCUUGAUUGAAACAGAAAGAUGUUACUUUUGCAGAAGAACAUACUCUUUUGCUAAUAACUUUUUAAAAAUGAAAUAUUGUCUUAGGGGUUAUAAUGAAUUUAAUAAAAGUCUAUUGACACUGGCA